Mauremys mutica (yellowpond turtle) is the source of this 829-nucleotide long non-coding RNA. RefSeq lists it as uncharacterized. The record is from RefSeq and is a predicted model, not a curated record. Lineage: Eukaryota; Metazoa; Chordata; Testudines; Geoemydidae. The transcript has 3 exons.
AUGUCAUCAAUACGUACUAUAUCAUAAUGAACUUACAAGAACUUCAUAUGAAGAUUACCAUCCAUCUCCCAGGCUGCCUGCAAUCACUAUGGUUUUCAGGCAGAAAAGGCUUCUGUCACUUUCACAUACAGUUUGCAGCUCAGGAAAAUACAGGGCAUCUGGAAAUUGUUGAAAGAGACGAAACCCAUUUUUGUCUCUUCAUUCCCAGCCAGUGUUUGUAAAGGUCUGAGACUGACCAAAAUAUCAAGAUGAUUAUUAUUGAUAUCACCAUAUGCUGGAACCACAAAUUAUAUUGUCGUUGCUGAAACCUUGUCCAUCGGUGCAUCCUCCACACUGGGACAGAGACUUUCCCAGAUUAGAAGGUGGAAAAAGAAGACUCAGGAGGACAUGAUCCGUGAGUUAAUGUGCACCUCCGAGAGUGACAAGACGGAGCUCAGUGCAUGGAGGAUUGCACUGUCCGAUAGCCUGCACAAGGACCGUGAGGCCAGAAGAGCAUGCAAGGAACGCUAGCGUGACACGCAGGAUGAGAUGGUGCGGAGUAUGAGGGAGCAAAUAGACAUGUUGAGGCAUCUGGUUGAGGGUUCAAGAAAGGCAACUGGAUGUGACAGUUGCACUGUAGCCUGUGCUGAACCUGCUGCCAUCGUCGCCAAGUUCCACAUCCUCCUCUCCCAGACGUCCUAGAAUGCGGGGGAGGGGAGUCUGGUAUCCCUUGCAAUCAACUCCAGGGGAGGUACAAGGACUAGAAGGUGCACUGUUAUUGCAGUGCAGUUGUAAGCAAGCUGUCCUUGUUUCUCCCCUCUCGCCCCUGCUGCAGUGUUAUCAGCCCUUU